GCCCCCGUAGCUCAACGGACAGAGCGCCUGCCUUCUAAGCAGUAGGUUGAAGGUUCGAUUCCUUCCGAGGGCA
This 73-nucleotide transfer RNA is filed under the name Chloroflexota bacterium. RNAcentral's name for it is "Chloroflexi bacterium tRNA-Arg". It matches the Rfam family "tRNA". Rfam says of the family: Transfer RNA (tRNA) molecules are approximately 80 nucleotides in length. Their secondary structure includes four short double-helical elements and three loops (D, anti-codon, and T loops). RNAcentral also lists the same sequence under 2 other names. The record is from RNAcentral. Lineage: Bacteria; Bacillati; Chloroflexota.